Oxyura jamaicensis (ruddy duck) is the source of this 966-nucleotide long non-coding RNA. RefSeq lists it as uncharacterized. NCBI's taxonomy places the organism in Eukaryota, Metazoa, Chordata, Aves, Anseriformes, Anatidae. The record is from RefSeq and is a predicted model, not a curated record. The transcript has 4 exons.
UUUAUCUCAUGUCGUCUUUUCCCCUAUGGUUAUGCAAAUCCUCGGAAUAGGGGGCAAGGGGAAGAGCUAAUUUUAAAGUCAGUAAAUUCCAGUGGAAGAUUUCUUCAGUCGCUCCGAGCGGGACUAUCCUGGGUGCUGUUGCAGAGCUGUGGCUACCUCCAAAUAGCACAGGGGUAUUGAAGAUGAUAUACAGCCAUGAUCUUAGAUUAUGAUGAAACUGCACCUUCAGUUCUGCCAGUAUCACUUGCUGCACUCAUCCAGCUGCGGAGAGACUGCUGGAAGGAAAGACCAUGUCCAGGGUCCCUCAUCCCCAUGCCUGAAUGAACAGGAGGGCUGCCAGAUUCCUUUUAGUUUGUGAGCUGUUCAAAUCCAGACUCUUCCAAAUCAAGCUCCUGUCACCAUCUAUAUCCAUAUGAGAAGAGUGGAUACGCCAAAGCAAUAAAAGACAUUUUGUGUAUCCUCCCUUGUCAUCAUGGAAAUCUGGACCGACUUCAAAACAUACUUAUUUCAAAACAUACAAAUAAGGCAAUCAGAUACUGAUGUUCAGAGCAUUUACCUCUCUGUUUACCCAAAUUUAGUUGAAGAGCCCUUGAAAUAAUUAGGACUGCUGCAGCCACAGGUGAAAUCUCUCUUUUCUUUAGCCACCUGUAGAUUACUAUGAUAAAUCCUUGUUUGAAACAGCAGCUGCCCAAAAGGAGGUGCUUGUGUGAACGCUGUCUUGAGGGGGGAGAAAGUUCAAGGGAGGAUGAAAACUCCUCUGACGUUUUUCAGAAUACAGUUAUGCCCUGAGAAUUGCUACUUUACUCCUGUUCUGCAACACAUAAAUACACGUCAGAUGUGUGGUAAACCAAAUUCUCUCAGGAUCUUGUCCUGAAAGAGGAAAAGACAUGAUGAUUUAAAGGCUACAUCUGCAGCUCUUGCAGCUGCUUCGGUUCCUGCUGCUGGAGGAAAAUUCCCUGCAUCAAC